AAGUCGUAACAAGGUUUCCGUAGGUGAACCUGCGGAAGGAUCAUUCCCCUUAAAAGCAAAAAUAUACUCUAUUGGUGAAAAUAUUCUGUGGAUGAUUAAAUUCAUUUUUAAUCUUCUCUCAAUUCUUUCUCUUUUUUUUUUAAACAAAACUAUUAAAUUAAUAAUGUUUCUUAAUCGAAGCAUUGUUGAGUUCUUUCUUAAGCCUUUAUUGGCUUCUGAAGGGAUUUUAAUUUUAACCAAAACUUUUAUUAUAAAAUUAAAAAACAAUAACAAAAGAACAACUCUUAACAAUGGAUAUCUCGGCUCUUGC
Molecule: unclassified non-coding RNA, 310 nt
Filed under: fungal sp.
Lineage: Eukaryota; Fungi
Description: partial internal transcribed spacer region
Rfam family: Eukaryotic small subunit ribosomal RNA (bases 1-46)
Source: RNAcentral